This 465-nucleotide ribosomal RNA is filed under the name uncultured bacterium. RNAcentral's name for it is "partial 16S ribosomal RNA". It matches the Rfam family "Bacterial small subunit ribosomal RNA", at positions 338 to 795 of the family's 1533-position model. The record is from RNAcentral.
CCUACGGGAGGCAGCAGUGGGGAAUGUUGGACAAUGGGCGCAAGCCUGAUCCAGCUAUACCGCGUGUGGGAAGACGGCCUUCGGGUUGUAAACCACUUUUGUAGAGAACGAAAAGUCUGUUGAUAAUACCGAUAGAUGAUGACGGUACUCUAAGAAUAAGCACCGGCUAACUACGUGCCAGCAGCCGCGGUAAUAAGUAGGGUGCGAGCGUUAAUCGGAAUUACUGGGCGUAAAGGGUGUGCAGGCGGUUUUGCAAGCUGGAUGUGAAAGCCCCGGGCGUAACCUGGGAAAGCCAUACCUGACUGCAAGACUAGAGUGCGUCAGAGGGGGGUGGAAUUCCAAGUGUAGCAGUGAAAUGCGUAGAUAUUUGGAAGAACACCGAUGGCGAAGGCAGCCCCCUGGGACGCAACUGACGCUCAUACACGAAAGCGUGGGGAGCAAACAGGAUUAGAUACCCGAGUAGUC